UACGGGGGGAGCAAGCGUUGUUCGGAUUUACUGGGCGUAAAGGGCGCGUAGGCGGCCAGCACAAGUCAGUUGUGAAAUCUCCGAGCUUAACUCGGAAAGGUCAACUGAUACUGUGCGGCUAGAGUGCGGAAGGGGCAACUGGAAUUCUUGGUGUAGCGGUGAAAUGCGUAGAUAUCAAGAGGAACACCUGCGGCGAAGGCGGGUUGCUGGGCUGACACUGACGCUGAUGCGCGAAAGCUAGGGGAGCGAACGGG
Molecule: ribosomal RNA, 254 nt
Filed under: uncultured bacterium
Lineage: Bacteria
Description: partial 16S ribosomal RNA
Rfam family: Bacterial small subunit ribosomal RNA
Source: RNAcentral